GCUGGGCAUGGUGGUGCGUGCCUGUAAUCCCAGCUACUCAGGAGGCUGAGGCAGGAGAAUUGCUUGAACCCGGGAGGCAGAGGUUGCAGUGAGCCAAGAUCACGCCACUGCACUCUAGCCUGGGCCAUAGAGCGAGACUCCGUCUCAA
RNAcentral lists this non-coding RNA (148 nucleotides) under Gorilla gorilla gorilla (western lowland gorilla). Lineage: Eukaryota; Metazoa; Chordata; Mammalia; Primates; Hominidae. The record is from Rfam by way of RNAcentral.